CUAUUGUAGUGGCGAACGGGUGCGUAACGCGUAAGAACCUACCUAUCGGAGGGGGAUAACAUUGGGAAACUAUUGCUAAUACCCCAUAAAUUUGCUGAGGAGCGAAACGGGUUAAAACCGCCGAGAGAGGGGCUUGCGUCUGAUUAGCUAGUUGGUGGGGGUAAAGGCCUCCCCAAGGCCACGAUCAGUAGCUGUUCUGAGAGGAUGAUCAGCCACACUGGGACUGAGACACGGCCCAG
This 239-nucleotide ribosomal RNA is filed under the name uncultured bacterium. RNAcentral describes it as "partial 16S ribosomal RNA". It matches the Rfam family "Bacterial small subunit ribosomal RNA", at positions 87 to 334 of the family's 1533-position model. The record is from RNAcentral.